AAUAGAUACCCAGGUAGUCCACGCCCUAAACGAUGUCAACUAGCUGUUGGGGCCUUCGGGCCUUGGUAGCGCAGCUAACGCGUGAAGUUGACCGCCUGGGGAGUACGGUCGCAAGAUUAAAACUCAAAGGAAUUGACGGGGACCCGCACAAGCGGUGGAUGAUGUGGAUUAAUUCGAUGCAACGCGAAAAACCUUACCUACCCUUGACAUGUCUGGAAUCCUGAAGAGAUUUGGGAGUGCUCGCAAGAGAACCGGAACACAGGUGCUGCAUGGCUGUCGUCAGCUCGUGUCGUGAGAUGUUGGGUUAAGUCCCGCAACGAGCGCAACCCUUGUCAUUAGUUGCUACGAAAGGGCACUCUAGUGAGACUGCCGGUGACAAACCGGAGGAAGGUGGGGAUGACGUCAAGUCCUCAUGGCCCUUAUGGGUAGGCUUCACACGUCAUACAAUGGUCGGGACAGAGGGUCGCCAAGCCGCGAGGUGGAGCCAAUCCCAGAAACCCGAUCGUAGUCCGGAUCGCAGU
This 521-nucleotide ribosomal RNA is filed under the name uncultured bacterium. Its description in RNAcentral is "bacterial SSU rRNA". It matches the Rfam family "Bacterial small subunit ribosomal RNA", at positions 777 to 1304 of the family's 1533-position model. The record is from RNAcentral.